This 480-nucleotide ribosomal RNA is filed under the name uncultured bacterium. RNAcentral's name for it is "partial 16S ribosomal RNA". It matches the Rfam family "Bacterial small subunit ribosomal RNA", at positions 28 to 507 of the family's 1533-position model. The record is from RNAcentral.
GACGAACGCUGGCGGCGUGCUUAACACAUGCAAGUCGAACGAUGAAGAAAAGAAUCGAAGCUUCGGCAGAAAUUCAUUUCGGAUUAGUGGCCGGCGGGUGAGUAACGCGUGAGCAACCUACCUCUUACAAAGGGAUAGCCUCGGGAAACCGGGAUUAAUACCAUAUAACAUUGUGACGAAGCAUUUCGAUGCAAUCAAAGCUACGGCGGUAAGAGAUGGGCUCGCGUCCCAUUAACCGGAUGGUGAGGUAACGGCUCACCAUAGUGACGAUGGGUAACCGGGAUGAGAGGAUGAACGGUCACACUGGAACUGAGACACGGUCCAGACUCCUACGGGAGGCAGCAGUAGGGAAUAUUGCACAAUGGAGGGGACUCUGAUGCAGCGACGCCGCGUGAGUGAUGAAGGAAUUCGUUUCGUAAAACUCUGUUCUAUGGGAAGAAAAGGACUGUACCAUAGGAGAAAGCUCCGGCUAAAUACGUG